Molecule: long non-coding RNA, 660 nt
Organism: Solanum lycopersicum (tomato)
Lineage: Eukaryota; Viridiplantae; Streptophyta; Magnoliopsida; Solanales; Solanaceae
Source: RefSeq, a predicted model, not a curated record
UGUAACGUGUCUUCUUCUGGUAAAAUUAGUAUGCAUGCCUUUCUCCUAAUUCAUCAUUUAUGAUGAUUCACUGUUUGCACAUCAAAGUUCCCUCUCUUCAUCGUUCUCCAGAUUGAAGUUAAGGGAAACUACAAUUACCUUUAUCGGAAUUUCAGCUACCGCUUCUUUGUUCUCGCUUUGUGUUCAUGUGAUUGUAUAAGAGUUAUAAUUACGAGCUUUUUCCAGUUACGCAAAAUGGAAAUCCGGUCUAAGUAGGAUCCUGUCAUUACUCCUAUUACUCCUGCAAACAAUCGGUGCACCAUCAUCACCUGCUCCAAUGGAUACAGCAGGAAGCAACAAAAGGAAGAUAGGAAAUCCUAUCACAAACAAAAAAGACAAGCAAGAGGUCACUUCUUAUCACAAGCAUGCUCUAGAGGUGAAGACUUCCCCUCCAAAACACAAUAACAAGGUCAGUGAAAAAUAAUGUCAUCUACACUUCGCAAUGUGAUAAGAGCCAUUUUUUGUUGAUGUAGCAAGCAUAAUCAUAACGGAUCACUUUCAUUUUUCCUAUGUAAAUAAAAUGUGAUGUUAUAAAACUUAGGCUCCAACAUUAACAUAUAAUUUUUGUCGGGUCACACUUGGACUUAAUAUGCAAUAGUCAUAUAUGUAUCCCACUUGAAA